This is a non-coding RNA of Microcebus murinus (gray mouse lemur), 725 nucleotides long. Lineage: Eukaryota; Metazoa; Chordata; Mammalia; Primates; Cheirogaleidae. The record is from RefSeq and is a predicted model, not a curated record.
GGCACUCACUCUAGACUGGGCAACAAAGUGAGACUCUGCCUCAAUAAAUAAAUAAAUACCUGAAGGAUGAAUAGUUAACCCGGUGGAGAAGUAAGGUGGGAGCUGGGCAAAAGGGCGUAUUAGGGAGAGGGAAGAGAGGGAACAGUCUGAGAAUGCCCUGAAGCAAUCAUUCAUGCAAGCCCAAGUGAAAGCAGCAAGGACAAAGAGGAGAGACACAAUCCCCUAAGAGCCAAUAUUUUCUGUCUGAUAAAAUGUGAGCAGCAAGGAGCUUCCUUCGGCUCAGCCUGAAGCCAGUUGCUGCAACCUUGGGACUUCACACCACACUGGCAAGUGUUAACUUCCCUGACAUAAAAACCACACCCACCAAUCCUCCCGCAGGGCCCCCAAACACAGAAGAGAGAGGGAAGCAGAGGGGGCUGCCUCAGGGUCAGAAGUGAAUAGUUUUCCAGGCAGUGAAGGACGAACAAGAAGGCAGGAGCUAACUCCGUCCGGCAUGAUGGAUUCCCGGGCUCCCAGAACGGCUGGGCUGGAAGGGACCUUGAAAAAGCAACUACCAACACAUGCCCCAUGCCAGGACUGGGCACUUUCGUGAUGAGCACAUUUUCUUGUUUAACACUCCUAACUAUUUCGAGAGCCUUUCCUUGAAAUGGGAAGUCCUCGCUGCACGAGGUGGACACUCUAUGUUGCUGGAUCACCCGGACGUCUUUCUCCUUCACCUGGACUGA